UACGUAGGACCCAAGCGUUGUCCGGAAUUACUGGGUGUAAAGGGUGCGUAGGCGGGCUUGCGCGUCGAAGGUUAAAGACCACAGCUUAACUGCGGAAGUGCCUUCGAUACGGUGAGUCUUGAAUAUGAGAGAGGUAAGUAGAAUUCCUGGUGUAGCGGUGAAAUGCGUAGAUAUCAGGAGGAAUACCAGUGGCGAAGGCGGCUUACUGGCUCAUUAUUGACGCUGAGGCACGAAAGCGUGGGGAUCAAACAGG
RNAcentral lists this ribosomal RNA (253 nucleotides) under uncultured bacterium. RNAcentral describes it as "partial 16S ribosomal RNA". It matches the Rfam family "Bacterial small subunit ribosomal RNA", at positions 524 to 776 of the family's 1533-position model. The record is from RNAcentral.